GCCAGGCGUGGUGGUGUAUGCCUGUAAUCCCAGCUACUUGGGAGGUUGAGAUAGGAGAAUCGCUUGAACCUGGGAGGCAGAGGUUGCAGUGAGCCAGGAUUGUGCCGCUGCAUUCUAGCCUGGGUGACACAGUGAGAUCCUGUCUCAA
Unclassified non-coding RNA from Papio anubis (olive baboon), 148 nucleotides. It matches the Rfam family "Metazoan signal recognition particle RNA". Rfam says of the family: The signal recognition particle (SRP) is a universally conserved ribonucleoprotein. It is involved in the co-translational targeting of proteins to membranes. NCBI's taxonomy places the organism in Eukaryota, Metazoa, Chordata, Mammalia, Primates, Cercopithecidae. The record is from Ensembl.